Molecule: ribosomal RNA, 279 nt
Filed under: uncultured bacterium
Lineage: Bacteria
Description: partial 16S ribosomal RNA
Rfam family: Bacterial small subunit ribosomal RNA
Source: RNAcentral
UGCCAGCAGCCGCGGUAAUACGGAGGGUGCAAACGUUGUUCGGAAUCACUGGGCAUAAAGCGCACGUAGGCGGUCCGCUCAGUCGGGUGUGAAAGCCCUCGGCUCAACCGGGGAAUAGCAUUCGAUACUGGCGGACUCGAGGAUGGUUGGGGUGAGUGGAACUCCUGGUGGAGCGGUGAAAUGCGUAGAUAUCAGGAGGAACACCAGUGGCGAAAGCGGCUCACUGGGCCAUCUCUGACGCUGAGGUGCGAAAGCUAGGGGAGCGAACGGGAUUAGAUA